AUUGAACGCUGGCGGCAGGCCUAACACAUGCAAGUCGAGCGGAUGAAGGGAGCUUGCUCCUGGAUUCAGCGGCGGACGGGUGAGUAAUGCCUAGGAAUCUGCCUGGUAGUGGGGGAUAACGUCCGGAAACGGGCGCUAAUACCGCAUACGUCCUGAGGGAGAAAGUGGGGGAGCUUCGGACCUCACGCUAUCAGAUGAGCCUAGGUCGGAUUAGCUAGUUGGUGGGGUAAAGGCCUACCAAGGCGACGAUCCGUAACUGGUCUGAGAGGAUGAUCAGUCACACUGGAACUGAGACACGGUCCAGACUCCUACGGGAGGCAGCAGUGGGGAAUAUUGGAGAAUGGGCGAAAGCCUGAUCCAGCCAUGCCGCGUGUGUGAAGAAGGUCUUCGGAUUGUAAAGCACUUUAAGUUGGGAGGAAAGGCAGUAAGUUAAUACCUUGCUGUUUUGACGUUACCAACAGAAUAAGCACCGGCUAACUUCGUG
Molecule: ribosomal RNA, 484 nt
Filed under: uncultured bacterium
Lineage: Bacteria
Description: partial 16S ribosomal RNA
Rfam family: Bacterial small subunit ribosomal RNA
Source: RNAcentral